CGCAGGAGCCUGGCAGGAACUUGGCGCGUUUUACAGCCUGAACCGCGCCGUCUUCUGCGCGUCUCGGAGAGCAGCAGUCUCCGCCUUAACUUCCCCCCGAGCUAGCCGGCGCCAGCUGACGGCUGAACCGGCACCGAGCCCUCUAGUGUGAAGGAGCCAUGCCUUUCCUCCAUGGCUUUCGAAGAAUUAUCUACGAGUAUCAGCCUCUGGUAGAUGCUGUGUUGUGCGUCAUUGGGCUGGAGGAAGGAGCUAAUAGUACUCAGGAAGAGAUAAGCGGUCGUCCUGAAGAUGAGGAACGUCUCAGUAGUUCCCUGGUGGAGCUCCUGGAAAGGGAGUCUGAGUCCGAGGUAUUCGAGGAAGGCAUCAGCUAUGCGCUCUUUAAGGUGGCUGAAAAGGGACAUGUUUAUGCAGCUGAAAUCCUUCUGCGCUAUGGUGCUGAUCUCAACUUUGAAGACCCAGUGUCUUAUUACAAUCCAUUGCACAUAGCAGUUCUGAGGAACAGCCCGAGCAUGGUGAGGCUGCUGGUGGGGCAUGGGGCCGACAUUGAAAAAAGGGACAGGAUCCAUGAAAGCAGUCCUUUGGAUCUGGCCAGUGAGGAGUCCGAGAGACUGCCCUGCUUGUUCGCCCUGCUUGACUUGGGAGCUGACGUAAACGCAAAGGAUAAAAACGGAAAGACACCGUUGCUCCAUGCCUUGGCGAGCAGCGAUGGACUCACGGUGCACAACACGGAGAACAUUCAACUGCUGCUCGAGAGAGGUGCUGAUAUUCGAGCUACUACCAUAGAUGGGGAGACAGCUGAGUCCUCUCUGGUGUUUCUGAUUCAGGAGGCCCUGGAGGCCAACAUGGAGGAUGCUGCUGAGAUUGGCCACUUCUGCCUGAGAGCCACCAAGCUAUUGCUGGCCCAUGGUAUUAACCCCAGCGUGUGUCUGAGUGGGGAUGGAGAGCCCUCCCUGACACAAACCAGUUUGGGGUACUUUGACUUGCUGUUCCCUCUGGCUGUUCUGCUACUCCAGAGCGGUGCGGCUUUUGUUUGCUCUUACCAUGGGGCCUCCUGCUGGUCAGGUUACAGGUUACUUUUCCACAGACUCCGCACAGCACUGCAGCAGUGUACUGAUGGGAGCCACGCCCUUGAGCUCGUGGAGCAGGCUGAGCUCUUGGUUGACCUAGCCAAGGUAAACUUCACCACACUGCCACUGCCCUCCAGACUGGAGCUGCCUCAUCCUGGAGAGGAACCCCAUGCCCAAAUGCUGCUGGACCUCCACAGCCGAGUGGUGGAGCAAGAGGCAGGCCCUCCAGCUUUGCGCUUCCUAUGCAGAGCGUUCAUAAGGAGCACCUUACAGCCCUGGCCACUGGAAGAUAAGGUGAAAACUCUGCCAUUACCAGACAGACUCAAAGACUUCCUUCUCCCCGAACACACAUAUAGCCCAAAGCCCGGCUGGGACUGCUUCAGGCCCCAGAAAAACCCCACGCUGAGUUCUUGACCUACUAUGUCUACAGAGGUGAUGUUUAGUUAUACGCUGGAUAUGAAAUGAGAGUUGUGCCAAGAUUAAACUGCUAAUACCCGCUUGAGAAGCGAGUUACAGUUCGUCGUGAGCGCCACCAGAUGGCAGUAGUGAUCUUGCAUUUCAAAAGUAGCGUGGCUGGCGGGGUCAGCGAUGUCGUUAUUCACGGAAUGGGCCUAUCAAAGUUGUAGUAACGCAGUGAAACUCAUCACUGUGCCCUCAACACAUUUGUGCACGGCGUUUGAUUUGACCUUUAGUGUGCAGGAUGAGCCCCGGCCUGGACGGUGGGUGCUGGCGGGCCGGUGAAGGCAGGCAGGUAUGCGAGCUGGGCGUCUCCUCCUGCAGAUGUUGCGCCCGGUAAGGCCCAUGACACCCUCUAAUUCCCAACAAUGCGAAAGGCUCUUCGACAUCUGGUAUCCCCCCUUAUCAGAUGCAGUCGCUGC
RNA transcript from Lampris incognitus (smalleye Pacific opah), 1945 nucleotides. It is a transcript of the gene named ankyrin repeat and SOCS box containing 6, with no coding region annotated. The transcript has 9 exons. The record is from RefSeq and is a predicted model, not a curated record. Lineage: Eukaryota; Metazoa; Chordata; Actinopteri; Lampriformes; Lampridae.